GAUUUUCACCCAAAACUUUAUUUUAACAUAUAAGGACCCAUAAUUAAUGAUUUAUCACGUUUUUAAGGAUAAAACCUUAUCCAAAAAGUGUGGGUGAAGUACAAGAGGUGGAGUGUUGACUUUCCUUUAUUCUAUGACACAAGCAACCACCAUACCUACUCCAUGACUAACCCACACUCCUCCCCACCAUACCUUGUCACUUCCUUGUCCUUUUCACCUCACUCACAAGUCAUUCCCACGUUUUGAGAGCUGGACAUUCAUCCUCUCUCCUCAUUUUCUUCCACUUGCUCUCAUUUCACCAAAAAUACAACACAACUUUUCUCCUAAACUUUUUCUCUCUAUUUCAAGACUCCAAGGCUGAUUUUCAAGCUUUAUUCUUCUCUUGGUAAGUAUAAUUCAUCCUCCUUGUGAUUAUUACACUUGAUUCUACUCAAAUCAUUGAUUGCUUACACAAAUAUCGUCAUAUUUGUUGAUUAGCUCCUCAAAUCUUCAAGCAUCUCCCGAGUGUUCUUGAGUUGAACACUUCUUUUCUCAAUCAUCCAUCUUCUGAAAUCACUCAAGGUGAGUUCAUACCCCUACAUUUUCAUGUUUUCUCAAGUUUUUAGGGGGAGAAUACAAGUUAAAACACCAAGAACAUAACUAAAAUUUUCUAAAAGCUUUCAUCAGAAAAGUUGGACUCCAUUCACGGACUAUUUUGGACAACUUAAACAUUUUAAUUUUCAAAACUGUUUUAGGUUCAAGUAGUUCCACUUCUUAGAUUUAAAAUGACUACUUGCACAUCUCCACACGAUUUUUCUACAAUUUAUGGUGAUUUUUACAAAACAGCCUGUCUUUUCAAACACAAAUCCGGACCAGUCUGUGAAUAUGAGCAUUUUAAUACAAGUUAAAGGCUUCCAAAAAUCAUGAUAAAAAUUAUGAGUAAACUAGACACAUUUUAGGAACUCUCAGAAUUUACGGAUCUAGUUUUUGACUUCGUAUGAUUUUUCUAAAACAGUGCAGAAAGGUUAAGAUUUAGUUAACAGCUUCUAACUUUCAAAACACUUUGUAACAUGUUGAGCAAAGUGUUAAAUCUUUGAUGACUUCAUAUAUUACAUGUAUUUCUUGUAAUGAUAUAUUUAUAUAAUAGGAAAAUUACUUACUGAAUUAAUAAGAAUCCUCCAUCAUAACCAUUAGUACAAAACAAAGCAAGAUAAACAUAGCUAUAUUGUACUAUACAUUUGACUUACAUAGAAAGGGUUCAAAUACACCACAAAUAAACAUACUAAACUAUAAUAAGUAUAGUUAGGUUGCAUGUACAUUUCAAACAUUUUGAUAAACUAUAAUAGGUAUAGUUUAUGAUCAUUACAUUACAAAAGGUUUUCACACGAAUAGGGUACAUUCCAAAGUACCGGGUUUUCACAUAAAUGGGGUACAUUCCAAAGUACCGGGUUUUUAUACAAAAAGGGGUACAAAUACAAAGUACCGGGUUUUUAAUUACAAAAAGGGGUACAGAUACAAAGUACCGGGUUUUAUACAAAAAGGGGUACAGAUACAAAGUACCGGGUUUUCAUAUAAAUGGGGUACAUUCCAAAGUACCGGGUUUUAUACAAAAAGGGGUACAGAUACAAAGUACCGGGUUUUUAACUACAAAUGGGGUACAUUCCAAAGUACCAGGUUCACAUAAAAUAGUUGUUAUGAUAUUAAAACUAUAUUUCAUCUAGAAUUGUUAGACUUCAACUAUAAUCGUUGAGCGUAUAUGCUUGAGUCAUAUAAGAAAUUAGUCUUGAUUGGCUUAGAAUUGGUGGUGCCCGCCUCAUCUCCUGUUCCUCGUUGGGUUGUGGACCUAGGGCAGACCCACUAUAUUCAACGUUUUAUCUAACUUAAAUCUUAUAUAACUUAUAUACGCUGGACGAUUAUAGGGGAAAUCUACGGGUCAUUCUAGGGUUCAUUAACGCAUCAUAUAGGAAUAUUCUGUUCACACUUAACUAAGAAAAUAUUGGAUUUUCUGGAAAUCAAACUCUAUCGAUUUUACAAGGAAAACGGUUUCUACUUCAAACAAAACUCUUAUGAACUCACCAACUUAAUUGUUGACACUUUUUCAAAACUACUUGUAUUCUCAGGAAAUCAGUGAAACAGGAAAACUUCAGCGCUUUGAGGAUGGGACGUUAAACCGUCAACAAUUUAUUUUUGUCAUCAUAAUGUAAUUGAUUUUGGAACAUGUAAACAUAUACUUUGGUGUAACUUUUUCAAUUAUAUUUAUGAUGGUUGUAUUUACUUUGAGCACUAUUAUACACGUUGUUGUGAUACUGUACAUGAAGUCCUCCACCCCCGGACGUUUCCGCCAUCCUUGGUUUGGGGGUGUGACAGAUUGGUAUCAGAGCAUUGUUUAUAGUGAACUCAGUAUAUCGAACCACAUAAGAUAUACAAACUAUAAAUGCAUUGGGACUAAAGUCUCUGAUUUAAAGUUUUCAAAACAACUAUACUUUUAGAAAUAAAUAGUUUCUUAUUAAAAGUAUACAUGCAUGCAUACAUACUAAGGUCAGCAUCAUUCUAGAACAAAACAAAAGUAAUGAUUGUUGGAUAUCACAGGUAAGCUCGGGGAUGUAUGGUCAGUCUUGGGAUUGGCAUAGCCUGAUCAACUAUGCUCGUCCGAGGAGUGAUUAGCACAUGCCCAAGAAUGGUUGUGAUAUGGCAACAAGUCUAAAAACUUACCAACACUACCACAAUGAAAUACCAUAGGGGUAUUUGGUGUUAUUAUAAUUACUUAUCUGAGAACUAAAUAGAUUUUUAUCAAUAGGUCAAUAAUUGCUUAGUGGAUACAUUAAAAUUAUAUGUAUCCAGGACGUCAUAGACUUAGAAUAUGUGGAUCUUUGCUUUACUUCCUGUUCUCGUUGGAUUGGGGAUUUAGAGUUAGGGUCGCUUAUUCGAAGGUCUAUCCUGUCCCAAAUACAUAUGACUGGUAUGCACUAAACAAUGUAUUGAAGUACCUGAUAAAUAUCAUCUUAUAAUUAUCUAAUUAGUACGUCUACUUAGUUAUUUCUUAUAUUCCCAUUUCUCGCGAACAUAUCAUGGCUGGAUUCUAUCCCCACGACGACCUGUACUACCCCAACCACGACAAUACUGAAUGGCUCGGAGACGAGCCAGGGAAUGAUUAUCCAACCCAUGUGGAUGGUCACCAAGCUGAAGGCUUUGCUGAUGGUUCUGACUCCGACCCUGAAGUGGAGAACCUACCCCGAUGGCUCUUGUUCCGAAUCCUAACCCUCGUCCGAUUUUUUUUCAAGGCCCGACGCCUCCUUGGGUAGAGUGCUUGGAAACCUGGAGCGAAGAGCAAGACCAACCCAUGUCGUUUAGUGGAGACCGAAGCUUCUACGACAUAAGCGAAGGAAGCUCUGCAGAUGGAAUUCUUCCAAUCCUGGUCUGUAAAGUUGCCCGAAACGAGAUUUAGGGAAGAACAACUCUCCAUCAUAUCGUAGAGGUCGAUGCAAAUACAAGAAUGCAUAAAAUCCGCAUCAAUCACCUUGAGCACACUCGUGAGAAAUCUGAGAGAGACCUUGAAACCCUGCUGCAAGCACUAGAUGGAACACGAACCGAAGUCAUAAAACUCCGAGUAUGCCCGAGGGUGUACAAAAGGCACAUGCUUGAUAUGGAGCGGCAACUAGCUGAACUGAGGGUUCACCAGAGGGAUGACAGUCGCCAGUAGUAGAUGCCUUACUUUCUUUCCCUGUUAAAAAGAGAGAGAGAGAGAGAGAGAGAGAGAAUUGUUUUUCCUAUCUAUGUCCUAUGUGGCAUUCUCUAUGAAACUAUCUUGUUCUGUAGGUACUUUUGGUUAGGCCUUUUGGCGGCCAAAACUCUCCUGCUCCGGAUGUGAUGUAAGACCCUCUACAAGGUCAAUUUUCCCAAGCCUGUUACAUCUUAAACAUCAAUGACUUUGUCAGUCGGCUAAAUUCUAUGACACUCUUUGUCCAAAUACUUCCAUCAUGCUACCAUAAGAGUAUAUCUGAAACCCACUCUAGUCAAGUUGUUGGACUAGAGUAACUUAGCUCCGGGAUCAUUCCCAAUUCUCUUUCAAAAGUUCGAUCAAAUCUCAAGGUUUCACUUGGAUACAAAACCUACUAAACUCAUGAAAUUCAUUCAUAUGGACAUCCUUUAUGAAUUACAUAUAAGGCAUUCUUAGAUCGGAGCAUACUGCAGAAAAAUCUAAUUCAAUGACAACUGACUUGUCUUUGCUAGUAGGAACUUACCAUCUGAUCAUUAUCUUGCAAAUUUUAUGACAGAACCAUGCCACCGAGGAAAAGACCAAGACCUUCCGGAAACUUAGCACCGCCCCCUCCGCCACCACCUCCGGAGUUUGAUCCUGUGAUGUUUCCGGCUGUAGUAACAGCAGCCGUGGNCCUCCGGAGUUUGAUCCUAUGAUGUUUUAGGCUGCAGUAACAGCAGCCGUGGCGGCAACAAUGUCGCAAAUGGGUACAAAUGGUUCCGGCGGUUUCGGACCGAGAAUACUAACUCGAAUCAGGGGGACAACACGGGGCGUACUAAGGAGUGUUCUUACAAAGACUUCACGAAUGGCAAACCUGAUCCUUUCGACUGAAGCGGGGGCGUCAUUGCGUUGAUGCAUUGGUUUGAAAGGACUGAAGCAGUCUUUGAAAUCUGUGCUUGUCCCGAAGCGAGCAAGGUCAAGUAUGCGACAUUCACCUUCACAAGAAAAGCUCUUACUUGGUGGAACGGUAGAGUUAAGUCGCUUACUCCUGCAGUGGCUAACUCUAUAAGCUGGGAGGAUUUAAAANAGGCGAAGUGCAAAAACUAGAAGAGGAACUCUGGAACCUCAAAAUGUCGGGGACGGAUCUCGAAGCUUAUACUGCCCGAUUCAAUGACCUAGCACUCCUCUGUCCUGCAAUGGUCACCCCAGAGGAGAAAAAGGUAGAACGAUACCUUUGGGGGCUAUCAUCCCAGAUUCAUGAUAGUGUAUUGGCCUCAAGACCAACUACCUUCGACAGCGCCAAGGAGUUGGCACAACAACUCAUCAACCAUCGUGCCAGCCAUGACACUACGACAACCACGCCAAUUUUUGCUGUUCAUGCUGCCACAACCCUCACCACGCCAACUCCCAUGAAACAAUACGCUGGAACCCUUCCGAAAUGCAACAGGUGUAACUUCCAUCACACUUGGGCUUGCCGGAAGAUGCAUUCCAAAAACUGCGACAGAGAGGGGCACACUAUCCGUUUUUGUAAGGCACCCGCAUGACCCAUCAAUCAAGUCCCUGGCUUUGGAGCAAGCCCAGCCUGUUACAAGUGUGGAGAAACGGGACAAUUUAAAAGGGACUGCCCAAGAACAAGAGAUGCCAGGGGUGGUGGAAAGGUGCUUGCGAUCACCGAAGGAGAGACCACCCCGGAACCCGCAAAUAUCAGUACGUGUUUCUAACAUCGACGUUUAAAUUCUAAAUUUCUUUAUAUGUUAAAUCUAGCAUCGAUUAAAGGAUGCAUAGUAGUAAGGCCAAGGAUUAAAAUGAGAGCAUAAACAAUAAGAAAUUCCAAGGCCGACAUGUGACAUCAGGCGGAUUAUUCCUCACCAUAAUCGAUUUCUUGUAUUGCGAAAAGUUUCCCCCAUCUUUCCUCCGAAUUCUUGGAUCCCCAUUCAAAGUGCAAAUUCCGGGACGAACUUCCCUUUAACGGGGUAAUGAUGUGACAAUCGUCAAAUUCUGGUCAAUUCAAAGUCAAAUAAAGUCAACAAGUCAAACCGGUCAACUCAACUAACCCUUGUGUACUAUGGCUUACGUUAUGUAAUUACUAAACAACUCGCUAUUCUAAUGAGAGAUCUUAAAUCGAAAAGUACGUACAUCUAGAUCUCCUUAACCUAAAACUGUGGUAAGUGAUGAACCAAACCGAUAAAACAAUGUUGCAUACUCAUCGGGAGUGUGUAAGAUCCUUAAAAAAGGCUUAACGGGGUUUACGGACCUUGCAUUGCGAAGCCGGACACUCAAAAAGGUCACAAAUGAAACCUCUCUCAAUCGUUUCCACUCUAUCUCUUCUUAUCGAGAGUCUCUCCCAAAUCUCUCUAAGUAUGUGGAAUCUCUCCCAAAUAUCUCUUUGUAUGUGAAAUCUCUCCAAGAAUGUCAAAUCUCUCCCAAAUCUCUCUAAGUAUGUGGAAUCUCUCCCAAAUAUCUCUUUGUAUGUGAAAUCUCUCUAAGAAUGUCAAAUCUCUCCCAAAUCUCUCUAAGUAUGUGGAAUCUGUCCCAAAUAUCUCUUUGUAUGUGAAAUCUCUUCAAGAAUGUCAAAUCUCUCCCAAAUCUCUCUAAGUAUGUGGAAUCUCUCCCAAAUAUCUCUUUGUAUGUGAAAUCUCUCCAACAAUGUCAAAUCUCUCCCAAAUCUCUCUAAGUAUAUGGAAUCUCUCCCAAAUAUCUCUUUGUAUGUGAAAUCUCUCCAAGAAUGUCAAAUCUCUCCCAAAUCUCUCUAAGUAUGUGAAAUCUCUCCCAAAUAUCUCUUUGUAUGUGAAAUCUCUCCCAAAUCUCUCUCAAAAGUUUCCGUAACUUUUUGAAGUCAUUCGGGUCAUUCCGACCCUUAACCGGGUCAAAAACGGCUUAAAACGGGGUAAAAACGAGUAAAAUAGGCUUGAGGACCCGAAACCCCUCUUAAGGACCCGAAACCCCUCUUAGGGCCGAAAGUCCUCUUAGAACCGAAGGUCCCUAUAGGGACCGAACCUGCCAUGAACCGAAGCUGGAAGAGCCGAACCCGAGAGCCUUCUCAGAACCGAACCCGAAGGGUCCUCUCAGGACCGAACCUCGCACACACACACCCGAACCCGAAGGUACUGUUCACUUCGGUCUCCUCGCUUCUGACCCUUCGGACCGAGCCUGACCCUCGCUUGCUGAUCCGCUCCGCUUCGCUUCUCGCCCAGCCUCAGGAGGACCGAAUCUCGGCCAGGACCGAGAGGUCUCGCUGGGAAGCUUCUUUUCUCCCGGUUUUCGAGUAGUUUCGCAUUUUAGCUUCGUUUUUAAUUGUUUUAACGCGAGAUUUUCACCCAAAACUUUAUUUUAACAUAUAAGGACCCAUAUCACGUUUUUAAGGAUAAAACCUUAUCCAAAAAGAGUGGGUGAAGUACAAGAGGUGGAGUGUUGAUUUUCCUUUAUUCUAUGACACAAGCAACCACCAUACCCACUCCAUGACUAACCCAUACUCCUCCCCACCAUACCUUGUCACUUCCUUGUCCUUUUCACCUCACUCACAAGUCAUUCCCACAUUUUGAGAGCUGGACAUUCAUCCUCUCUCCUCAUUUUCUUCCACUUGCUCUCAUUUCACCAAAAAUACAACACAACUUUUCUCUCAAACUUUUUCUCUCUAUUUCAAGACUCCAAGGCUGAUUUUCAAGCUUUAUUCUUCUCUUGGUAAGUAUAAUUCAUCCUCCUUGUGAUUAUUACACUUGAUUCUACUCAAAUCAUUGAUUGCUUACACAAAUAUCGUCAUAUUUGUUGUUUAGCUCCUCAAAUCUUCAAGCAUCUCCUGAGUGUUCUUGAGUUGAACACUUCUUUUCUCAAUCAUCUAUCUUCUGAAAUCACUCAAGGUGAGUUCAUACCCCUAUAUUUUCACGUAUUCUCAAGUUUUUAGGGGGGAAUUCAAGUUAAAACACCAAGAACGUAACUAAACUUUUUCUAACAGCCUUCAUCAGAAAAGUUCAACUCGAUUCACGGACUGUUUUGGACAACUUAAAUAUUUUAGUUUUCAAAACUGUUUUAGGUGCAAGUCGCUCCACUUCUUAGCUUUAAAAUGACUACUUGCACAUCUCCACACGAUUUUUUUACAGUUUAUGGUGACUUUUACAAAACAACCUGUCUUUUCAAACACAAGUUCGGACCAGUCUAUGAAUAUGAGCAUUUUAAUACAAGUUAAAGGCUUCCAAAAAUCAUGAUAAAAAUUAUG
This 7889-nucleotide long non-coding RNA is filed under the name Lactuca sativa (garden lettuce). Its description in RNAcentral is "long non-coding RNA (LSAT_LNC006646)". The record is from RNAcentral. Lineage: Eukaryota; Viridiplantae; Streptophyta; Magnoliopsida; Asterales; Asteraceae.